Molecule: ribosomal RNA, 253 nt
Filed under: uncultured bacterium
Lineage: Bacteria
Description: partial 16S ribosomal RNA
Rfam family: Bacterial small subunit ribosomal RNA
Source: RNAcentral
UACGAGGGGGGCAAGCGUUGUUCGGAAUUAUUGGGCGUAAAGGGUGCGUAGGCGGUUCCGCAAGUCCUGUGUGAAAUCUUCGGGCUCAACUCGAAGUCUGCACGGGAAACUGCGGGGCUUGAGUGUGGGAGAGGUGAGUGGAAUUCCCGGUGUAGCGGUGAAAUGCGUAGAUAUCGGGAAGAACACCCGUGGCGAAGGCGGCACUCUGGGACGGUACUGACGCUGAGACGCGAAAGCGUGGGGAGCGAACAGG